GUCUUUUUUAUUUAUGAGUAUAUCACCCGGGUGUAAUUGUGAACCAUACGCAAGUAGAAAAUCCUUUAUAAUUUUUCAAAUUUUGCAUUUUUUUACUUCAUCCUCACUUUUUUAUCAAUAAAAUGUUCAAACUCAACAUUCUAUGUAAAAAUUUUCAAAAAAAAAUCGGUUUUUAAACGUCCCUUUAACUUUACUGGCCCUCAAGAAGGACAGUGUCUUCUGUGGUAGUUGGACAAAGUGAUUCAGCCAGUACUACACUCUGCGAUGGAUUUCAGGAUAUCCAGAAGAAGCUCAAGUGUGUUCGAUGGGUAUAUAAUAGAUGAGAAAGUCCAAGUCGUAGUUAUAAGGGGAUAAAUAGGAAAAGAAGAUGAAAGAGAAAAACCCAAAAACUAAACUACAUGUGAGAAACUGAACUGAGGAAUUUCUGAGAUCGACAUUGGCCAAGGCAACCGAAAGAAAUCAGACACCUGUACAACCUCACAAUGCAAGAUCAAGGUACCAACAAUAUCAACCUAGUCAAGAUUAUGCUUUAAUAUGAACCUGAUUCCUAAUAAGUAGUUGUUUUAUAGCAGUAAAACAAAAUAUAUAUCUAUCCAUUAAUGUCUAUAUUCUGUUCUGAUACUGAUUCUGAUUCUGAUCUGUAUUUAUACAUAUAUUUGGCCAAUUAAAUACAUUUGCAAUAAA
Anthonomus grandis grandis is the source of this 684-nucleotide long non-coding RNA. RefSeq lists it as uncharacterized. The transcript has 2 exons. The record is from RefSeq and is a predicted model, not a curated record. NCBI's taxonomy places the organism in Eukaryota, Metazoa, Arthropoda, Insecta, Coleoptera, Curculionidae.